Molecule: transfer RNA, 72 nt
Filed under: Ovis aries (sheep)
Lineage: Eukaryota; Metazoa; Chordata; Mammalia; Artiodactyla; Bovidae
Rfam family: tRNA
About the family: Transfer RNA (tRNA) molecules are approximately 80 nucleotides in length. Their secondary structure includes four short double-helical elements and three loops (D, anti-codon, and T loops).
Source: Rfam by way of RNAcentral
UCCCUGGUAGCUCACCUGGUAAAGAGUCUGCCUGCGGUGCAGGAGACCCAGGUUCGACCCCUGGGUAAGGAA